This 2903-nucleotide ribosomal RNA is filed under the name Escherichia coli. RNAcentral describes it as "23S ribosomal RNA". It matches the Rfam family "Bacterial large subunit ribosomal RNA". Lineage: Bacteria; Pseudomonadati; Pseudomonadota; Gammaproteobacteria; Enterobacterales; Enterobacteriaceae. The record is from RNAcentral.
GGUUAAGCGACUAAGCGUACACGGUGGAUGCCCUGGCAGUCAGAGGCGAUGAAGGACGUGCUAAUCUGCGAUAAGCGUCGGUAAGGUGAUAUGAACCGUUAUAACCGGCGAUUUCCGAAUGGGGAAACCCAGUGUGUUUCGACACACUAUCAUUAACUGAAUCCAUAGGUUAAUGAGGCGAACCGGGGGAACUGAAACAUCUAAGUACCCCGAGGAAAAGAAAUCAACCGAGAUUCCCCCAGUAGCGGCGAGCGAACGGGGAGGAGCCCAGAGCCUGAAUCAGUGUGUGUGUUAGUGGAAGCGUCUGGAAAGGCGCGCGAUACAGGGUGACAGCCCCGUACACAAAAAUGCACAUGCUGUGAGCUCGAUGAGUAGGGCGGGACACGUGGUAUCCUGUCUGAAUAUGGGGGGACCAUCCUCCAAGGCUAAAUACUCCUGACUGACCGAUAGUGAACCAGUACCGUGAGGGAAAGGCGAAAAGAACCCCGGCGAGGGGAGUGAAAAAGAACCUGAAACCGUGUACGUACAAGCAGUGGGAGCCUCUUUUAUGGGGUGACUGCGUACCUUUUGUAUAAUGGGUCAGCGACUUAUAUUCUGUAGCAAGGUUAACCGAAUAGGGGAGCCGAAGGGAAACCGAGUCUUAACUGGGCGUUAAGUUGCAGGGUAUAGACCCGAAACCCGGUGAUCUAGCCAUGGGCAGGUUGAAGGUUGGGUAACACUAACUGGAGGACCGAACCGACUAAUGUUGAAAAAUUAGCGGAUGACUUGUGGCUGGGGGUGAAAGGCCAAUCAAACCGGGAGAUAGCUGGUUCUCCCCGAAAGCUAUUUAGGUAGCGCCUCGUGAAUUCAUCUCCGGGGGUAGAGCACUGUUUCGGCAAGGGGGUCAUCCCGACUUACCAACCCGAUGCAAACUGCGAAUACCGGAGAAUGUUAUCACGGGAGACACACGGCGGGUGCUAACGUCCGUCGUGAAGAGGGAAACAACCCAGACCGCCAGCUAAGGUCCCAAAGUCAUGGUUAAGUGGGAAACGAUGUGGGAAGGCCCAGACAGCCAGGAUGUUGGCUUAGAAGCAGCCAUCAUUUAAAGAAAGCGUAAUAGCUCACUGGUCGAGUCGGCCUGCGCGGAAGAUGUAACGGGGCUAAACCAUGCACCGAAGCUGCGGCAGCGACACUAUGUGUUGUUGGGUAGGGGAGCGUUCUGUAAGCCUGUGAAGGUGUACUGUGAGGUAUGCUGGAGGUAUCAGAAGUGCGAAUGCUGACAUAAGUAACGAUAAAGCGGGUGAAAAGCCCGCUCGCCGGAAGACCAAGGGUUCCUGUCCAACGUUAAUCGGGGCAGGGUGAGUCGACCCCUAAGGCGAGGCCGAAAGGCGUAGUCGAUGGGAAACAGGUUAAUAUUCCUGUACUUGGUGUUACUGCGAAGGGGGGACGGAGAAGGCUAUGUUGGCCGGGCGACGGUUGUCCCGGUUUAAGCGUGUAGGCUGGUUUUCCAGGCAAAUCCGGAAAAUCAAGGCUGAGGCGUGAUGACGAGGCACUACGGUGCUGAAGCAACAAAUGCCCUGCUUCCAGGAAAAGCCUCUAAGCAUCAGGUAACAUCAAAUCGUACCCCAAACCGACACAGGUGGUCAGGUAGAGAAUACCAAGGCGCUUGAGAGAACUCGGGUGAAGGAACUAGGCAAAAUGGUGCCGUAACUUCGGGAGAAGGCACGCUGAUAUGUAGGUGAAGUCCCUUGCGGAUGGAGCUGAAAUCAGUCGAAGAUACCAGCUGGCUGCAACUGUUUAUUAAAAACACAGCACUGUGCAAACACGAAAGUGGACGUAUACGGUGUGACGCCUGCCCGGUGCCGGAAGGUUAAUUGAUGGGGUCAGCGCAAGCGAAGCUCUUGAUCGAAGCCCCGGUAAACGGCGGCCGUAACUAUAACGGUCCUAAGGUAGCGAAAUUCCUUGUCGGGUAAGUUCCGACCUGCACGAAUGGCGUAAUGAUGGCCAGGCUGUCUCCACCCGAGACUCAGUGAAAUUGAACUCGCUGUGAAGAUGCAGUGUACCCGCGGCAAGACGGAAAGACCCCGUGAACCUUUACUAUAGCUUGACACUGAACAUUGAGCCUUGAUGUGUAGGAUAGGUGGGAGGCUUUGAAGUGUGGACGCCAGUCUGCAUGGAGCCGACCUUGAAAUACCACCCUUUAAUGUUUGAUGUUCUAACGUGGACCCGUGAUCCGGGUUGCGGACAGUGUCUGGUGGGUAGUUUGACUGGGGCGGUCUCCUCCUAAAGAGUAACGGAGGAGCACGAAGGUUGGCUAAUCCUGGUCGGACAUCAGGAGGUUAGUGCAAUGGCAUAAGCCAGCUUGACUGCGAGCGUGACGGCGCGAGCAGGUGCGAAAGCAGGUCAUAGUGAUCCGGUGGUUCUGAAUGGAAGGGCCAUCGCUCAACGGAUAAAAGGUACUCCGGGGAUAACAGGCUGAUACCGCCCAAGAGUUCAUAUCGACGGCGGUGUUUGGCACCUCGAUGUCGGCUCAUCACAUCCUGGGGCUGAAGUAGGUCCCAAGGGUAUGGCUGUUCGCCAUUUAAAGUGGUACGCGAGCUGGGUUUAGAACGUCGUGAGACAGUUCGGUCCCUAUCUGCCGUGGGCGCUGGAGAACUGAGGGGGGCUGCUCCUAGUACGAGAGGACCGGAGUGGACGCAUCACUGGUGUUCGGGUUGUCAUGCCAAUGGCACUGCCCGGUAGCUAAAUGCGGAAGAGAUAAGUGCUGAAAGCAUCUAAGCACGAAACUUGCCCCGAGAUGAGUUCUCCCUGACUCCUUGAGAGUCCUGAAGGAACGUUGAAGACGACGACGUUGAUAGGCCGGGUGUGUAAGCGCAGCGAUGCGUUGAGCUAACCGGUACUAAUGAACCGUGAGGCUUAACCUU